GAGCAGUAUUUAUUUUUACAGUACUAAUUUAUCCAAUAAUCUUAAGACAAUAGUUGAGAUGGCACAUACUCUACAAUCACUUACCAUAGAUUUUGUUAAGUUGAAUCAUUUUGAUAGAGGGAAUUUUAGGUGCAAGUAGAAGAAAGUGCGGUUUCUUCUUUUAUCUUUGGGUAUUGGUUAUAUUCUCAACACCUCAAAACCACAAGAGCAUGAAAAUG
Molecule: long non-coding RNA, 218 nt
Filed under: Elaeis guineensis (African oil palm)
Lineage: Eukaryota; Viridiplantae; Streptophyta; Magnoliopsida; Arecales; Arecaceae
Description: long non-coding RNA (EGUI_LNC036600)
Source: RNAcentral